UACGUAGGGGGCGAGCGUUGUCCGGAUUUAUUGGGCGUAAAGAGCGUGUAGGCGGCCAUACAGGUCAGCUGUGAAAACUCGAGGCUCAACCUCGAGACGUCGGUUGAAACCGUAUGGCUAGAGUCCGGAAGAGGAGAGUGGAAUUCCCGGUGUAGCGGUGAAAUGCGCAGAUAUCGGGAAGAACACCCGUGGCGAAGGCGGCUCUCUGGGACGGUACUGACGCUGAGACGCGAAAGCGUGGGGAGCGAACAGG
RNAcentral lists this ribosomal RNA (253 nucleotides) under uncultured bacterium. RNAcentral's name for it is "partial 16S ribosomal RNA". It matches the Rfam family "Bacterial small subunit ribosomal RNA", at positions 524 to 776 of the family's 1533-position model. The record is from RNAcentral.